Molecule: ribosomal RNA, 405 nt
Filed under: uncultured bacterium
Lineage: Bacteria
Description: partial 16S ribosomal RNA
Rfam family: Bacterial small subunit ribosomal RNA
Source: RNAcentral
GAUGAACGCUGGCGGCGUGCCUAAUACAUGCAAGUCGAGCGAAGCGGGGACGGGUGAGUAACCCGUGGAUAACCUCCUAUAAGACUGGGAGUACUUCGUAAAACCGGCGGUAAACCCGAGACUUUUAGCUGGAUCCGCGCGGCAUUAGCUAGUUGGUAGGGUAACGGCUUACCAAGGCAACGAUGCAUCGCCGGCCUGAGAGGGUGAUCGGCCACACUGGAACUGAGACACGGUCCAGACUCCUAGGGGAGGCAGCAGUAGGGAAUCGUGCGCAAUGGGCGAAAGCCUGACGGAGCAACGCCGCGUGAGUGAUGAAGGUCUUCGGAUCGUAAAACUCUGUUAUUAGGGAAGCGGUACCUGAUCAGGAAGCCACGGCUAACUACGUGCCAGCAGCCGCGGUAAUAC